This 300-nucleotide ribosomal RNA is filed under the name uncultured Oceanospirillales bacterium. RNAcentral describes it as "bacterial SSU rRNA". It matches the Rfam family "Bacterial small subunit ribosomal RNA", at positions 114 to 415 of the family's 1533-position model. The record is from RNAcentral. Lineage: Bacteria; Pseudomonadati; Pseudomonadota; Gammaproteobacteria; Oceanospirillales.
CACGUAGAAAUCUACCGAGUAGUGGGGGAUAGCCAGGAGAAAUCCUGAUUAAUACCGCAUGUGCACUAAGGUGUAAAGGAGGCCUCUUCUUGAAAGCUUUCGCUAUUUGAUGAGUCUGCGUCAGAUUAGCUAGUUGGUGAGGUAAUGGCUCACCAAGGCGACGAUCUGUAGCUGGCCUGAGAGGAUGAUCAGCCACACUGGGACUGAGACACGGCCCAGACUCCUACGGGAGGCAGCAGUGGGGAAUAUUGGACAAUGGGCGCAAGCCUGAUCCAGCAAUACCGCGUGUGUGAAGAAGGC